AACUUUUAACAAUGGAUCUCUUGGUUCUCGCAUCGAUGAAGAACGUAGCAAAGUGCGAUAACUAGUGUGAAUUGCAUAUUCAGUGAAUCAUCGAGUCUUUGAACGCAACUUGCACUCAUUGGUAUUCCAAUGAGUACGCCUGUUUCAGUA
RNAcentral lists this ribosomal RNA (150 nucleotides) under Mucor amphibiorum. Its description in RNAcentral is "5.8S ribosomal RNA". It matches the Rfam family "5.8S ribosomal RNA". Rfam says of the family: 5.8S ribosomal RNA (5.8S rRNA) is a component of the large subunit of the eukaryotic ribosome. It is transcribed by RNA polymerase I as part of the 45S precursor that also contains 18S and 28S rRNA. Functionally, it is thought that 5.8S rRNA may be involved in ribosome translocation. The record is from RNAcentral. Lineage: Eukaryota; Fungi; Mucoromycota; Mucoromycetes; Mucorales; Mucoraceae. RNAcentral also lists the same sequence under 5 other names.